Molecule: long non-coding RNA, 874 nt
Organism: Lucilia cuprina (Australian sheep blowfly)
Lineage: Eukaryota; Metazoa; Arthropoda; Insecta; Diptera; Calliphoridae
Exons: 2
Source: RefSeq, a predicted model, not a curated record
GACCAACACUCCAAGCUAACAACAGCUUGUUAUUAAAAGAAAAAACAUUUAAUGGUGCUUCAAAAAAGUAUAACGCGGAAAAUGCUUUUGCUUAGAUGUUGAUUACUGUCUAAGAGCUCUGUCAGAUAAUUAUUAUUGACAUGCUCUAAACUAUGAUGUUAUUGUUGUUGGUCAGUGCUUCAGAGCAUUAUGCUGCUGCAUAGGAAAAAAAUAUAUUCAAAUAUUAUCUACACAAGGAAAGGAUUACAACGUCAUGUUAUCUAAACAGUUUCUACUGCAUUGUCACUGGGGGAGCGCAUGGUUUCAUACUAAACUUGCACAGUUAGGUCCUGCAUUGUCACCGAGGGAGCGAAUGAUUUCAUACUAAACUUGCACAGUUAAGACACUAUUUUGUAUUUCCAUUGGACAGCAAUUAGGUAUUUUAGAAAAAGACAUUAAUUUUCUUGUUAUUUCAUUAUUAUUUAAUCCUUAACCAGAAAAAAUAUAAGACCGAACCUAAUAUUUUAGAAUAAGUUAAUAAUAAUGCUAGAUAAAAAAUUUAUUUUAAAUCUUGAGUUUACAAAAAAAAUUUUAAUUAUUGACUUACCAAAAGUAAAUUUUUGAUUUUCAGCCAGUUGGGCAGAUUCCACGGGUAUAUUUUCAAAAUACAACAACGAUUAUUAGUUUUAUAGAUAUAAAGGAAUUUAUUAUUAUUAAAUAAUUCAAUUAUUUCUUUUCAAAUCAGGUUGUAUAUUUGAUUUGUUGGAGCAAAUUGCUGCACACACUCAAAAAUUAUCGCAAUAAAAGUAAAAUAUUUGAGAUUUGGUGUUUUUCUUUUUUUAAUUCAUGGAUGAUUGAUCUGUACACAUUCCAAAAAAAAAUUACAUGAUUUAAA